Molecule: long non-coding RNA, 1107 nt
Filed under: Marmota monax (woodchuck)
Lineage: Eukaryota; Metazoa; Chordata; Mammalia; Rodentia; Sciuridae
Source: RNAcentral
GAAGCCCUUCAAAUGUAAAGUAUGUGGCAAAAAUUUUAAAACAAACUCACAGGUUGAUUGCCACAACAGGAUUCAUACUGGAGAGAAGCCCUACAAAUGUAAUGUGUGUGGCAAGAGUUUCAGUCAAAAAUCAUCACUUACUCAGCACCAGCGAAUCCACACUGGAGAGAAGCCCUAGAAGUGUAAAGAGUGUGGCAAAGCUUUUAAUAGCAUCUCACAGCAUAAUUGGCACAAAAGUAUUCAUACUGAAGAGAAGCCCUACAAAUGUAAAGUGUGUGGCAAGAGUUUUAAUACAAACUCACAUCUAUAUUGCCACAACAGGAUUCAUACUGGAGAGAAGCCCUACAAAUGUAAAGUGUGUGGCAAGAGUUUCAGUCAAAAAUCAUCACUUACUCAGCACCAGCAAAUCCACACUGGAGAGAAGCCCUACAAAUGUAAAGAAUGUGGCAAAAGUUUUAAUCAAAAAAUAAUACUUACUCAGCACCUGAGAAUCAACACUGGAGAGAAGCCUUACAAAUGUAGAGAAUGUGGCAAAGAUUUUAAUCAACAAUCAUCACUUACUCGACACCAGAGAACCCAUACUAGAUAGAAGUCCUAUAAAUGUGAAGAAUGGCAAACCUUUUAAAAACUGAAGAUCACAUCUUACUAAACAUUAUAGAUUUUAUACUAGAGAGAAGUUUUACAAUCAAAACUGCUGAGGGCCAUAGCCAAGUAGGAAUGAUGCAUGGCAAUUUCCUUUUCAGCCUACCCAAUGUUGCUUAGAGGGAGGACUCUCCAUUGUGGAAAUGGGCUUGCCUUGGACCCAGGUCAUUUGCAGUGACAUUGCAUGAAUGAGAGUUUUUUGAAAGGUGACCCUGCUCAGGAAUUAGGGCGGCUCCAGGUUUAGGGUGUAUCCUGCUGAAUUAGGGUGGCUACAAGUUUAGGGUGGAUCCUGCUGGGAAUAGGGUGUAUCCUGCUGCCUCAGGCGCCUGCUCCUUGAGUUCCUGUUGAGUUCUCCUGGGAUUCAGAGAGUACUUGGGAUGCAGAGCCCAGUGGAAGUGUAGAUUUUUCCAGACCAUGCGUGUAGAGUGCCGGUGAGAGUUCGGGAAUAAAGAAUUGCUGUUUGAA